AUACGUAUGUCCCGAGCGUUAUCCGGAUUUAUUGGGCGUAAAGCGAGCGCAGACGGUUAAUUAAGUCUGAUGUGAAAGCCCGGAGCUCAACUCCGGAAAGGCAUUGGAAACUGGUUAACUUGAGUGCAGUAGAGGUAAGUGGAACUCCAUGUGUAGCGGUGGAAUGCGUAGAUAUAUGGAAGAACACCAGCGGCGAAGGCGGCUUACUGGACUGUAACUGACGUUGAGGCUCGAAAGUGUGGGUAGCAAACAGGAUUAGAUACCCUGGUAGUCCACACCGUAAACGAUGAACACUAGGUGUUAGGAGGUUUCCGCCUCUUAGUGCCGAAGCUAACGCAUUAAGUGUUCCGCCUGGGGAGUACGACCGCAAGGUUGAA
RNAcentral lists this ribosomal RNA (377 nucleotides) under uncultured bacterium. RNAcentral's name for it is "bacterial SSU rRNA". It matches the Rfam family "Bacterial small subunit ribosomal RNA", at positions 523 to 898 of the family's 1533-position model. The record is from RNAcentral.